AUUGAACGCUGGCGGCAGGCCUAACACAUGCAAGUCGAGCGGAUGAAGGGAGCUUGCUCCUGGAUUCAGCGGCGGACGGGCGAGUAAUGCCUAGGAAUCUGCCUGGUAGUGGGGGAUAACGUCCGGUAACGGGCGCUAAUACCGCAUACGUCCUGAUGGAGAAAGUGGGGGAUCUUCGGACCUCACGCUAUCAGAUGAGCCUAGGUCGGAUUAGCUAGUUGGUGGGGUAAAGGCCUACCAAGGCGACGAUCCGUAACUGGUCUGAGAGGAUGAUCAGUCACACUGGAACUGAGACACGGUCCAGACUCCUACGGGAGGCAGCAGUGGGGAAUAUUGGACAAUGGGCGAAAGCCUGAUCCAGCCAUGCCGCGUGUGUGAAGAAGGUCUUCGGAUUGUAAAGCACUUUAAGUUGGGAAGAAGAGCAGUAAGUUAAUACCUUGCUGUUUUGACGUUACCAACAGAGUAAGCACCGGCUAACUUCGUG
Molecule: ribosomal RNA, 484 nt
Filed under: uncultured bacterium
Lineage: Bacteria
Description: partial 16S ribosomal RNA
Rfam family: Bacterial small subunit ribosomal RNA
Source: RNAcentral